Molecule: ribosomal RNA, 253 nt
Filed under: uncultured bacterium
Lineage: Bacteria
Description: partial 16S ribosomal RNA
Rfam family: Bacterial small subunit ribosomal RNA
Source: RNAcentral
UACGAAGGGGGCGAGCGUUGUUCGGAUUUACUGGGCGUAAAGGGCGCGCAGGCGGCUAUCCAAGUCAGGCGUGAAAGCCCCGGGCUUAACCCGGGAGCUGCCUCUGAUACGGCAUGGCUUGAGUCCGGGAGAGGAGAGCAGAAUUCCCAGUGUAGCGGUGAAAUGCGUAGAUAUUGGGAGGAAUACCGGUGGCGAAGGCGGCUCUCUGGACCGGUACUGACGCUGAGGCGCGAAAGCGUGGGUAGCAAACAGG